AAACUAACAAGGAUUCCCCUAGUAGCGGCGAGCGAAGCGGAAGAGCUCAAAUUUAUAAUCUGGCGCUUUCGGCGUCCGAGUUGUAAUCUCUAGAAGUGUUUUCCGCGUUGGACCGCACAUAAGUCUGUUGGAAUACAGCGGCACAGUGGUGAGACCCCGUUCACGGUGCGGAUGCCAAUGCUUUGUGAUACACUUUCGAAGAGUCGAGUUGUUUGGGAAUGCAGCUCAAAUUGGGUGGUAAAUUCCAUCUAAAGCUAAAUAUUGGCGAGAGACCGAUAGCGAACAAGUACCGUGAGGGAAAGAUGAAAAGCACUUUGGAAAGAGAGUUAACAGUACGUGAAAUUGUUGGAAGGGAAACGCUUGAAGUCAGACUUGCUAUUCGGGGCUUGCUCCGAGUUGCAGGCCAGCAUCAGUUUUUCGGGGCGGAAAAUCACGGAUUGAAGGUAGCAGUUUCGGCUGUGUUAUAGCUUUCCGUUGGAUACGUCCUGGGGGACUGAGGAACGCAGUGUGCUUUUAGCGAGGGCUUCGGCUCUUUCACACUUAGAUGCUGGUGGAAUGGCUUUAAACGAC
Molecule: ribosomal RNA, 570 nt
Filed under: Rhodosporidiobolus ruineniae
Lineage: Eukaryota; Fungi; Basidiomycota; Microbotryomycetes; Sporidiobolales; Sporidiobolaceae
Description: eukaryotic LSU rRNA
Rfam family: Eukaryotic large subunit ribosomal RNA
Source: RNAcentral